GCACUGCUGAAGAGUCCCACAAUAGGACGGAAGGGCCGUCCAGUGC
Molecule: non-coding RNA, 46 nt
Filed under: Schistosoma mansoni
Lineage: Eukaryota; Metazoa; Platyhelminthes; Trematoda; Strigeidida; Schistosomatidae
Source: RNAcentral